Molecule: small RNA, 64 nt
Filed under: uncultured Planococcus sp.
Lineage: Bacteria; Bacillati; Bacillota; Bacilli; Caryophanales; Caryophanaceae
Description: Bacillaceae-1 RNA
Rfam family: Bacillaceae-1 RNA
Source: RNAcentral
UAAAGGAACGCAAGCUAAAAACGCGCCUUCCUGCCGCAACGCUUGCAUGAUCCGCAUCCUGCGG